CAAGAAAGUCAAAUCUCUCACUGCCUCUAUUACUUCCAUUCGGGAAUUAAGUAGUUAUAAAAACAAAAGAGUGGCCAAAACCCAGAUAAUGCAAUCAGGUAACCUGCCAGACAGGAGAGAACACACUCAGCAUUCUGUUUUAGACCGCCCCCUGUGAUAUAUGUAUGAUGUAUUGGGGGGGUGGUCCUGGGCUACACCCCUUCUGUGAUGUAUGUAUGAUAUUUCUGGGGGUGGUCUGGAGUUUAAGGAUGUGCAAUUUCAAAAGUCUAUAUGAGGGCAGGCACAUCUUUGUUCUGGGUUCCUCCUCUUUCCUGCUGGUGGCGAGUGAGGACUCUGUUGCAACAGUUUAAUAAAGAACAGGCUUACUCGCUGCUUUGCUUCUCAAUAUUCUCUGGUUGGUCUCUGUUAUUUUCUCCUACUGAUAGAGAACCUACAAAAGGACUGUAUAUGGGCUCUUGGGUACCCCGUAAGGGAAAAGGAGCAGGGGUUUUUUUCUCAUAACAGUUUGCAAACACAGAGUUGAUGGACACAGUUCAUCUUCAGUAGCAGCUAUGAUUAAGAUGAGCCCCAUUCGGUACCAAUGCACUUUUGGCCAGAGAUUUUCGCAGGAUGUAGAACACAAUGUUUGCAGCUCCAAACAGGAGUUCAUAUGCACCGUGUUGCCGGCGGGGAGGUGUGUGUGUGAGAGAUUGAGUAAUCUGUUCUGGUCAGGCACAGCGAGGCGAGAAACUGGGUGAGAGUUUAUCAUUUGGGGAGAAGACCAAAAUGCAGGAAACCAAUCAGAAAGUGGUAGGAGGAUCAAAGGCAAUGAGCUGGAAGAGCAGAGAGGAGGAAGGAACUACCGGUAAGUCAGUGCAAGAGGUUAGGGGUGAAGGGAACAGUGGAGCUAGAGGAACCAAGUAAGAGAAGGAGGGACAAGGACCAGAAGAGAAACUGGACCCAGGGUCGGACCUGACACUUGUGCUUGCAAGCUAGGAUGCUGUUCCAUGUAAGAACCAAUUGGUUAGCAUUUGUUGCUCUUUCCUUUGUGGAUACUUGUUGGGGCUUUUCAUAUUUUAAAAAACCCCACAAAACUCAACUCCUUUGAACUUGUCUGAUAUAGCAGUGCUUGGUUGAGAUGAUGGGAUCACUGCAAUGGCAUCCAGGACAGCAGUAGAGUAGGAUCCCAGUUGAAGAGUGAUUGAGGCCUCCUUAUAAAAUAUCUCAUAAAAAUCCCGACAGCUACAUCAUUUUGGAGCUAUUUGGAAGCUAGAUCUUAAUGCUAGUCCUCUUCGAAUUUCUGGUGCUCACUGCAGAAGGAUCUCAGGGAAGCAGGAAUGAAAGGAGAAGUGUGGACUUUUGGCUUGAAAAGGUUCCCUGCCACCACCUUUAACAAAUUCCCUCUGUCACAAGAAGGAAGUUGGCUAAAGGGAUUUGGAUGUUUGGUUUUUCUUUUAUUUAUGCAGCAGUUUCUACCAUGCCCCUCUAACACAGAAGACAGCGAUAGCCAUCACAGUGCCCUCCAAAUGGUGUUGGACUGGAACUCCCAUCACCAGCCUGUAUUCAAUUAUGUGGGGCAGGGCUUACCUGCCCACCUCCCAAUAUUUUAUUCAGGUUGGCACCCCUGCCAGCGGGCAUGCUGGCUGGGGCCAGUGGGAACUGGAGUCUCCAAAUCUGGAGGCCACCAUGUUGGCUACCCCUGGCAUAAACAAUACCGCAACAGUUACUGUAUAAAAACAGGUAACAGAACAAUAUAAAUUACAACUGAGGUAGGCACAAGCAGAUAAAAUAGCACGUUUUAACACCACCAGCUACCUACCUGACCAGGCAGAAGCCUAGGAUGCAAUAAGAAUGUCUUCACUCACCGGAAGAAGAGCAUCAGAGAAGGGAAGUCACCCAAGCUUUGUGGGACAGCCACUGCAUAGGUUCUGUUUCUGAACAGCCCUACAGUCUGUGAUUCUGUGCUUGAGGUAAGACACAGAUAAGGGCUUCCGCCCCAUACCCACCCAGAUCUUAAGCAUUGGGCUGGCUGGUAAAUAAAGAGGCCCCUGAGUCACCCUGAACCCAAGCCAUUUAGGGCUUUAGCAGAAAUUAAUCACCAAUAUUUGGAAUUGUGCCCAAAAGCAAAUUGGAAAGCAGUGCAGGCAUUGCUGAAUCCAUGUAACUUAGGCUGUGUUGACAUGGCAGUUUAUUCCCUUUUCACGACUUUUCCCUGUUAAUUUCCAUAUGACUG
This is a non-coding RNA of Podarcis lilfordi (Lilford's wall lizard), 2212 nucleotides long. Lineage: Eukaryota; Metazoa; Chordata; Lepidosauria; Squamata; Lacertidae. The record is from the annotation of a GenBank genome assembly.